CGCUCGCGGAAGGGAAGCGGAAGCGGAAGGGCGUCCCGGGUGACGCGCCAGUUCCACCAUGGCGGCCCCGGAGGCCGCGGCCGCCGCCGGCCCCGGGCUGCUGGGCGUCCUGUGGCUCGUGUCCGUGACCGUGAGCGCGGGGCCGUGGGGGGCAGUGGCCGCCGCCGCGGGGGGCGACGAGACGGUCAAGUGCGAGGACCUGAGAAUGGGACAAUAUCCUCUGUAGCGGCGGGGGCGCGGUGGAGGGGCCCGCAUCCCGAGCCUUAGAGUCCGGCGCUUAGAACCCGGGCCCUUGGGGGGGGGGGGGGCUGUCGUUCUAGAACCCCCUGGGAGGGGGGGGCCUGACCCCCAGACCCGCCCCGCGGGAGGCCCCAGGCCCAGAACCGCCCGCGGGGGCCGGGGGGCCCGCCAGCCCCGGCGGGGGGGAGGGUUAGAACCCGGCCCCGCCCCUCGGGAGGCCCCAGACCCAGAACCGCCCGCGGGGGCCGGGGGUCCCGCCAGCCCCGGCGGGGGGGAGGGUUAGAACCCGGGCCCGCCCCGCGGGAGGCCCCAGACCCAGAACCGCCCACGGGGGCCGGGGGUCCCGCCAGCCCCGGCGGGGGGGAGGGUUAGAACCCGGGCCCGCCCCGCGGGAGGCCCCAAACCCAGAACCACCCGCGGGGCCCGGGGGGGGCCCCUCGCCAGCCCCGGCGGGGGUGAGGGUUAGAACCCGGGCCCGCCCCGCGGGGGGAGGGGGCGGGGCUUAGAAUCCGGGCCCAUCCCUCUGGGACAAGAGAAGCUCAAACCUAGAACUUGGGGGCUGGGAGGGAGAGCCCAGAACGCGGCGGCCCUGGCGGCCUAGAACGCAGCUUGUUACCGGGGGACCCACGAUGCCGGCGCGGGGGCGGGGCCUCUAGAACGCGGCACCUCGGCGCUGGGGGGCCGAGAACACCCCGCCCAAGCCAGGAGGGCCCCACAAUGUGGCGCUUCCCUGGGAGGGGGCCCUAGAACACCAGCCUCAGGGACCCCCCCCCCCCAUAGAACAUCCCCGGGAAACACCGAAGGGCUUUGGAGGCGCAGGAUGUCGGAGCUGGGGGACACCUUAGAGCGCAGGAUCUCUGAGCUGAAAGGGACGCUAGAACACAGGAUGUCCGAGCUCGUGGGGACCCUAGAGCACAGGAUGUCGGAGCUGGGGGGGACCUUGGGGCACAGAACGUCCGAGCUGGAAGGGACCGUGGAGCACCGGAUCUCCGAGCUGGGCUGGGCCCUAAAGCGCCGCGUGUCGGGGCUGGGCGGGAGCCUGGGGCGCAGGCUGUCCCUGCACAGGACGUCAGAGCUGGUGGGGAACCUAGAGUACAGGACCUCCGAGCUGGGAGUCACCUUGCAGUACAGGGACGUGGAGCUGGGGCGGACCCUGGAGUGCCGCCUGUCCGAGCUCAGAGGCACCGUGGGACACCGAGUGUCCGAGCUGGGCCAGGCCGUGGGGCGGGCCACCGUGUCGGACCUGGGGGGGACCCUGGAAGUCUUCCUGUCUGAGCUGGGGGACACCUUGGGACACAGAAUGUCAGAACUCGAAGGGACCCUAGAACACAAAGUGUCGGAGCUGGAAGGGACCCUAGAGCACAGAAUGUCCGAGCUGGGAGGGACCUUAAGGCACCGAAUGUCCGAGCUGGGAGGCUCCUUAGGGCGCAGAAGGUCCGCGCUCGGAGGGACCCUAGAACACAGAAUGUCUGAGCUGGGAGGGACCCUAGAACACAGAAUGUCCGAGCUGGAAGAGAGCUUAGAACACAGGAUAUCGGAGCUGGAAGAGACCUUAGAACACAGGAUCUCGGAGCUGGGAGCCACCUUAGAACACAGGAUGUCCGAGCUAGAGGGCCUCUUAGAACACCGGAUGUCCGAGCUGGAGGGGGUCUUGGGACGGAGGAUGUCGGGAUUGGGAGGAACUCUGGGUCGGCGAAUGGCUCAGCUGGGAGCCACCUUAGAACGCAGAAUGUUGGAGCUGGGAGGGACCUUGAGACAGAGGAUGUCCAAGCUGGGAGUGACUUUAGAACAGAGGAUGUCCGAGCUGGGCGGGGCCUUAGAACACAGAAUGGCCGAGCUGGGAGGGACCCUAGAGCACAGAAUGGCCGAGCUGGGAGCCACCUUGGAGCACCGAAUGGCUGAGCUAGGAGCCACCUUAGCACACAGAAUGGUUGAGCUGGGAGGGUCCUUAGAACACAGAAUGUCCAAGCUGGGCGGAGGUUUGGGACUUAGAAUGUCUGACCUGGAAGUGACCUUAGAGCAUAGAAUGUCUGAGCUGGAAGUGACCUUAGAGCACAGAAUCUCAGAGCUGGAAGUGACCUUAGCCCACAGGAUGGCCGAGCUGGGAGCCACUUUAGGACACAGGAUGGCCGAGCUGGGAGCCACCUUUGGACACAGAGUGUCCGAGCUGGGAGCUAUCUUGGGGCGAAGAAUGCCAGAGCUGGAUGGAACCCUAGGGCAUAGGAUGUCGCAGCUGGGAAUGGUCUUAGAACUUAGAAUGUCGCAGCUGGGAGUGACCUUAGGACGGAGGAUGUCUGAAUUGGGAGUGACUUUUGGAGUCAGAAUGUCCCAUUUGGGGGCUAUCUUAGGACACAGAAUGUUGGGGCUGGGAGGGACCUUAGGACGGAGGAUGUCUGAGUUGGGAAGGACCUUGGGACAUAAGAUGGCCGAGCUGGGGGUGACCCUGGGAUACAGAAUGUCCGAGUUGGGGGGGACCUUAGGACAUCGAAUGUCUGAACUCGGGGUGUCCUUAGGGCGCAGAAUAGCAGAGCUGGAAGCCACCUUAGGAUGUAGAAUGUCUGAGCUGAAAUCGACCUUAGAGCACAGAAUGUCCGAGCUGGGAGAGACUUUAGAGCACAGGAUGUCCGAGCUGGGGGGAACCCUAGAACACAGGAUGUCCGAGCUGGGGGGCACCCUAGAACACAGGAUGUCCGAGCUGGGGGGAACCUUAGAACACAGGAUGUUAGAGCGGGGAGGAAUCUCGGGCCAUAGAAUGUCCCAGCUGGGAGGGAGCUUCUGACAACCCAGGUCUGGAGGGGCUGCGGCCACAUCCUUGGUUUCUGGGGGGGAAUCUGGUGGAAAGCUGAGCCCCAGCGAGGGGUCUAGUGUGGGGGACAGCCGGCAUCUUCCCUGCCUGGGUGGCCUUGGGCCAGUCCCUCCGCUUUCCUCCUCCCCGAAACACGAGGCUGGCGCAUCUCCGCGACCCCUGGGACCCCAGCUAUUCACCUGCAGUGCACGGGGUCUCUGGUGCCCUUCCUUUUCUCAGUGCUUUGCUCUUCCCCCCAGCUUUCUCAUCCGGCUCAGUCCCACAACCCCUCCCGAAGCCCGCGCCGUCACAGUCAGUGUGCCUUAAGCUUGCGUCCUCAGUGCUGCCAAAGCUGUGGAGUCCUAGCCUUCUUAGUCUGUCUGCCCACCCCCCCUCAGUCUCACCCCUACGCCUCCCUGCUGUGCAGAGGCGUUCCUGGGUUUUCAAAGGCAAGGCCAGGCGCCCAAGCAGGGAGCGGCCUGGUGGUUAGGUCUGGCCAAGGAGGCCUGGGCUGGAUUGUCUGGACAGACAGUUGGCCGCUGUCUGGCGGGGGGAUAGACCCUGGAGACCGGGCCUGGACGAAUGGAGGAUGGGAUUCUCGGGGCUGUGUGUGUGUGUGUGUCAUUCCCCCUUACGGGGCUUGUCUUCCUAAAGUCUAUCUUCCCUUUCCCACAGUUUAGGCAUUUAAAAGUGUAAAAGCUAAAAGGAUGAAUGAGAAAUGGUGCUGCCCUCAGAAAGCUUGUGUUCUAGUAGGGAGCCAUGACACACCGAUCCCCACUGGAGAGAUCCCAUUCUCCCCUUCGUCCAGGCCCGCAGGCCAGGGGCUGCCUGUUGGGGAAGCUGCUACAGAAAAUAGGGCGGAAGGCAGGGAGGGGUGCUUUCUGGGCUCUGGCUAGCAGAGGUUGAGAGUCUUUGUUUCCAUGUGGGGAAAGGACCUAGCAAGCCUCUGGUAUUGCUGUCAGAGGAGACGAAUGCACUCCACGAGAUUCAGGAACUUCUGACGCUGGGCCUGCAUGGCAUGCUGUUCACGGCUGGGAGUCCCGCCAGAUCAAGUUUUCCUCUUCUCCCUCAGCCUCCCCAAAAAAGAAUCAAGAAGAAAAUAAUAAUGCAGAAGAAAAAGGCUCAGGAACUUAAUAUUCUAGAUCCUGAAAUAAAUGAGGCCACUCAGGAACCUGUUAACUGUACAAACUAUACAGCUCAUGUGUCAUGUUACCCAGCACCCAACGUAACUUGUAAGGACUUUAGCGGCAAUGAAACCCAUUUUACCGGAAGUGAAGUUGGUUUUUUCAAGACCACAUCUUGCCGUAAUGUAAACGGCUAUUCCUACCGGGUGGCGGUCGCGCUCUCGUUAUUUCUUGGCUGGUUAGGAGCCGACAGGUUUUACCUGGGGUACCCAGCUUUAGGUUUGUUAAAGUUUUGCACUGUAGGAUUUUGUGGAAUUGGCAGUCUGAUAGAUUUCAUUCUCAUUUCAAUGCAGAUUGUUGGUCCUUCAGAUGGCACUAGUUACAUUAUAGAUUAUUAUGGAACAAGACUUACAAGACUGAGCAUUACCAAUGAAACGUUUAGAAAAACACAGAAGUACCCAUAGAUAUUUAGAAAACAACUCAAUGGUUUGCGGUGCCUCCUUGAUUUUAAGAAAACUCCAGAGGGUGAAUUCCCAGGCUUCCUCAUCGUUCCCCUUCGCACAGCACGUCGUGGUUGCUUCAAUGUGAUUUUUACUGGAGUUUUUUUUUUUUUUCUUUUUCUUUUAGAAAUUUUAUUUUGAGAUUUGUUUGACUGGAGACCGAAGUCUCUUGUCUCCCAUGAGGGCUUUCUCACCCCCCACUCGCCUUCCUGUCCCACCCCAAAUGCCUUUUCUAGAGGCAAGUUGUGGCUUGUCGUUUUUCCUUCUUCAAAAUAAAACAAUAGAAUGGCCUCUUUGCUAUGAUGCUUCAUUCACACCAUUUCUGGGCUUUCCCUUAUGAGUCUGAAUGGAUCUGGGGGGGCCUGGGUUUGAAUAUGGUUAUUUUGUUCCUCACUGUCUCUGUGAC
Long non-coding RNA from Sarcophilus harrisii (Tasmanian devil), 5055 nucleotides. The record is from Ensembl. Lineage: Eukaryota; Metazoa; Chordata; Mammalia; Dasyuromorphia; Dasyuridae.